GGGGAGAUAGCUCGUGGCAUAGCACUUGCCUGGCAAGCACAAGGUCCUGAGUUUGAUUCCCAGUAUCUCCC
Molecule: transfer RNA, 71 nt
Filed under: Cavia porcellus (domestic guinea pig)
Lineage: Eukaryota; Metazoa; Chordata; Mammalia; Rodentia; Caviidae
Rfam family: tRNA
About the family: Transfer RNA (tRNA) molecules are approximately 80 nucleotides in length. Their secondary structure includes four short double-helical elements and three loops (D, anti-codon, and T loops).
Source: Rfam by way of RNAcentral